This 1182-nucleotide ribosomal RNA is filed under the name uncultured Planctomycetaceae bacterium. RNAcentral's name for it is "bacterial SSU rRNA". It matches the Rfam family "Bacterial small subunit ribosomal RNA", at positions 331 to 1507 of the family's 1533-position model. The record is from RNAcentral. Lineage: Bacteria; Pseudomonadati; Planctomycetota; Planctomycetia; Planctomycetales; Planctomycetaceae.
CCAGACUCCUACGGGAGGCUGCAGUCGAGAAUCUUCGGCAAUGGGCGCAAGCCUGACCGAGCGACGCCGCGUGUGCGAUGAAGGCCUUCGGGUUGUAAAGCACUGUCGAGGGGGAGAAAAGCCCGCAAGGGUCUGAUCUAUCCCUGGAGGAAGCACGGGCUAAGUUCGUGCCAGCAGCCGCGGUAAGACGAACCGUGCGAACGUUGUUCGGAUUCACUGGGCUUAAUGGGCGCGUAGGCGGACGGUCAAGUCAGGGGUGAAAUCUUUCAGCUCAACUGGAAAAGUGCCUCUGAUACUGACCGUCUCGAGGGAGGUAGGGGCAUGUGGAACUUCCGGUGGAGCGGUGAAAUGCGUAGAUAUCGGAAGGAACGCCGGUGGCGAAAGCGACGUGCUGGACCUCUUCUGACGCUGAGGCGCGAAAGCCAGGGGAGCGAACGGGAUUAGAUACCCCGGUAGUCCUGGCCCUAAACGAUGGGUACUAGAUUGUGGACUUAACAUGGGUUCCCAGUCGAAGCAAAAGUGUUAAGUACCCCGCCUGGGGAGUAUGGUCGCAAGGCUGAAACUCAAAGGAAUUGACGGGGGCUCACACAAGCGGUGGAGCAUGUGGCUUAAUUCGAGGCUACGCGAAGAACCUUAUCCUGGACUUGACAUGUGCGAAAGCGGUAGGAAGUAGGGGGCGGAAACGUUUCCCCAACGGUAUCCAGUCCGGAACCUACUACAGGUGCUGCAUGGCUGUCGUCAGCUCGUGUCGUGAGAUGUUGGGUUAAGUCCCGUAACGAGCGAAACCCUUGUCUCCAGUUGCCAGCGGGUCAUGCCGGGGACUCUGGAGAGACUGCCGGUGUUAAACCGGAGGAAGGUGGGGAUGACGUCAAGUCCUCAUGGCCUUUAUGUCCAGGGCUGCACACGUGCUACAAUGGCGUACACAAAGGGAAGCCAACCCGCGAGGGGGAGCUAAUCCCAAAAAAUACGCCCCAGUUCAGAUCGAAGGCUGCAACUCGCCUUCGUGAAGUUGGAAUCGCUAGUAAUCGCAGGUCAGCAACACUGCGGUGAAUGUGUUCCUGAGCCUUGUACACACCGCCCGUCAAGCCACGAAAGGGAGGAGCGCCCGAAGUCGUCUCACCAAGCAGACGCCGAAGGCGAAACUCCUGAUUGGGACUAAGUCGUAACAAGGUAACCAAGGGC